RNAcentral lists this ribosomal RNA (504 nucleotides) under uncultured Glomeraceae. RNAcentral describes it as "SSU rRNA". It matches the Rfam family "Eukaryotic small subunit ribosomal RNA", at positions 569 to 1078 of the family's 1831-position model. Lineage: Eukaryota; Fungi; Glomeromycota; Glomeromycetes; Glomerales; Glomeraceae. The record is from RNAcentral.
AGCAGCCGCGGUAAUUCCAGCUCCAAUAGCGUAUAUUAAAGUUGUUGCAGUUAAAAGCUCGUAGUUGAAUUUCGGGACCAAUUUGUUGGUCGUGCCUCGGUACGUACUGGUAUUAUUGGUUUCCCCCUUCUGAAGAACCAUGAUGCCAUUAAUUUGGUGUCGUGGGGAAUCAGGACUGUUACUUUGAAAAAUUAGAGUGUUUAAAGCAGGCAUACGCUUGAAUACAUUAGCAUGGAAUAAUGAAAUAGGACGUUUGAUUCUAUUUUGUUGGUUUCUAGGAUCGACGUAAUGAUUAAUAGGGAUAGUUGGGGGCAUUAGUAUUCAAUUGUCAGAGGUGAAAUUCUUGGAUUUAUUGAAGACUAACUACUGCGAAAGCAUUUGCCAAGGAUGUUUUCAUUAAUCAAGAACGAAAGUUAGGGGAUCGAAGACGAUCAGAUACCGUCGUAGUCUUAACCAUAAACUAUGCCGACUAGGGAUCGGAUGAUGUUAAUUUUUAAUGACUCA